Molecule: ribosomal RNA, 665 nt
Filed under: uncultured actinomycete
Lineage: Bacteria; Bacillati; Actinomycetota; Actinomycetes; Actinomycetales
Description: bacterial SSU rRNA
Rfam family: Bacterial small subunit ribosomal RNA
Source: RNAcentral
AUUCACGGCCUAUCAGCUUGUUGGUGAGGUAAUGGCUCACCAAGGCAUCGACGGGUAGCUGGUCUGAGAGGAUGAUCAGCCACACUGGGACUGAGACACGGCCCAGACUCCUACGGGAGGCAGCAGUGGGGAAUAUUGCACAAUGGGCGCAAGCCUGAUGCAGCAACGCCGCGUGCGGGAAGAAGGCCCUAGGGUUGUAAACCGCUUUCAGCAGGGAAGAAAAUGACGGUACCUGCAGAAGAAGGUGCGGCCAACUACGUGCCAGCAGCCGCGGUGACACGUAGGCACCAAGCGUUGUCCGGAUUUAUUGGGCGUAAAGAGCUCGUAGGCGGUUUUGUAAGUCGGGUGUGAAAACUCUGGGCUCAACCCAGAGAGGCCACUCGAUACUGCAAUGACUUGAGUACGGUAGGGGAGCGGGGAAUUCCCGGUGUAGCGGUGAAAUGCGCAGAUAUCAGGAGGAACACCAGUGGCGAAGGCGCCGCUCUGGGCCGUAACUGGCGCUGAGGAGCGAAAGCAUGGGUAGCAAACAGGAUUAGAUACCCUAGUAGUCCAUGCCGUAAACGUUGGGCACUAGGGGUGGGCCUCAACCAACGAGAUCCGCGCCGUCGCUAACGCAUUAAGUGCCCCGCCUGGGGAGUACGGAAUCGGUCAACCCCGCCAGGCGC